RNAcentral lists this ribosomal RNA (468 nucleotides) under uncultured bacterium. RNAcentral's name for it is "partial 16S ribosomal RNA". It matches the Rfam family "Bacterial small subunit ribosomal RNA", at positions 28 to 507 of the family's 1533-position model. The record is from RNAcentral.
GACGAACGCUGGCGGCGUGCUUAACACAUGCCAGUCGAACGGAAAGGCCCUGCUUUUGUGGGGUGCUCGAGUGGCGAAAGGGUGAGUAACACGUGAGUAACCUGCCCUUGACUUUGGGAUAACUUCAGGAAACUGGGGCUAAUACCGGAUAGGAGCUCCUGCUGCAUGGUGGGGGUUGGAAAGUUUCGGCGGUUGGGGAUGGACUCGCGGCUUAUCAGCUUGGUGGUGGGGUAGUGGCUUACCAAGGCUUUGACGGGUAGCCGGCCUGAGAGGGUGACCGGCGACACUGGGACUGAGAUACGGCCAAGAAUCCUACGGGAGGCAGCAGUGGGGAAUAUUGCACAAUGGGCGGAAGCCUGAUGCAGCAAAGCCGCGUGCGGGAUGACGGCCUUCGGGUUGUAAACCGCUUUCGCCUGUGACGAAGCGUGAGUGACGGUAAUGGGUAAAGAAGCACCGGCUAACCACGUG